CCAGGUGAGCAUCUUACAGCCUGGAGCAGCGCCCACACCCCCAGGUGAGCAUCUGACAGCCUGGAGCAGCACCCACACUCCCAGGUGAGUAUCUGACAGCCUGGAGUAGCACCCACACCCCCAGGUGAGCAUCUGACAGCCUGGAACAGCAUCCACUCCCCCAGGUGAGCAUCUGACCACAUUGAAUGGCAUCCUCACCUCCAGGUGAGCAUCUGACAGCCUGGAACCGCACCCACACCCCCAGGCGAGCAUCUGACAGCCUGGAGCAGCACCCACACCCCCAGGUGAGCAUCUGACAGCCUGGAGCAGCACCCACACCCCCAGGGGAGCAUCUGACCGCAUGGAAUGUCAUCCUCACUUCCAGGUGAGCAUCCGACAGCCUGGAGCAGCACCCACACCCCCAGGUGAGCAUCUGACCGCAUGGAAUGGCAUCCUCACCUCCAGGUGAGCAUCCGACAGCCUGGAACAUAAUUCUCCAACCCCAGGUGAGCAUCUGACAGCCUGGAACAGCAUCCACACCCCCAGGUGAGCAUCUGACCGCAUGGAAUGGCAUCCUCACCUCCAGGUGAGAAUCUGACGCAUAAAACAGCACCCUGCAACCCCAGGUGAGCAUCUGACAGUCUGGAACAGCAUCCACACACCCAGGCGAGCAUCUGACAGCCUGGAGCAGCACGCACACCCCCAGGCGAGCAUCUGACAGCCUGGAGCAGCACACACAACCCCAGGCGAGCAUCUGACAGCCUGGAGCAGCGCCCACACCCCCAAGUGAGCAGGUGACAGCCUGGAGCAGUGCCCACACCCCCGGGCGAGCAUCUGACAGCCUGGAGCAGCACCCACACCCCCAGGUGAGCAUCCGACAGCCUGGAGCAGCACCCACACCCCCAGGUGAGCAUCUGACCGCAUGGAAUGGCAUCCUCACCUCCAGGUGAGAAUCUGACGCAUAAAACAGCACCCUGCAACCCCAGGUGAGCAUCUGACAGUCUGGAACAGCAUCCACACCCCCAGGCGAGCAUCUGACUGUAUGGAAUGACAUCCUCACAUCCAGGUGAGAAUAUGACAGAAUAAAGCAGCACCCUGCACCCCCAGUUGAGCAUCUGACAGCCUGGGGCAGCACCCACACUCCCAGGUGAGCAUCUGACAGCCUGGAGCAGCACCCACACCCCCAGGUGUGCAUCUGACAGCCUGAAACAGCACCCUCCACCACCAGAUGAGCAUCUGACAACCAGAACCUGCACCACACACCCCAAGGUGGGCAUCCGAUGGCAUGGAACAGCACCCCCACUCACAGGUGAUGUGACUGCGUGGAACAGCACGUCCCCUCAGGUGAGCAUCUGACAGCAUAAAACAGCACCCCACAACCCCAGGUGAUCAUUUGCCAGCCAGGAACGGCAACCCACAUCCCCAGGUAAGUGUCUGACAGCCUAGAGCGGCACCUGCACACUUAGGUAAGAAUCUGAAAGCCUGGAUCAACACUCGAACCUUCAGGUGAGCAUCUGACAGCCUGGAGCAGCAGUGCCCACCCCUGGGUGAGGAUGCUCACCUGAGGUUGGGAGUGCCAUUCCAGGCUGCCAGAUCCUCACCUGGGGAUGGAAGGUGCCAUUGUAGGUUUUUGGAUGUUCGCAUGGGGGUGAAGGGUGGUGUUCCGGGUUAUCAGAUGCUCACCUGGGGACGCGUGGAAAACCAUGCCCACCACAAGGUGAGCAUAUGACAGCCCGGAACAACACCCUCCACCCCCAGGUGAGCAUCUGACAGCCUGGAACAGAACCCCACAACUUCAAAUAAGAAUUUGAUAAGUGGGGAAAAGCUCCCCGCCCUCAGGUGAGUGUCUGACAGCCUGGAACAGCACCCCACAACUGCAGGUGAGCAUCUGAUAGCCUGGAUAGGCACUCCACACAGCCAGGUGAGCAGCUGAAAGCCUGGAAUGGUACCCCACAUGCAGGUGAGCAUCCGACAGCCUGGAACAGCAGCUCACAUCCCCAGGUAAGAUUCCAACAGCAUGGAACAAGACCACUGCCCCCAGGUGAGCAUCUGGCAGCCUGGAAAAACAACCCCCUUCAGGUGAGCAUCUGACAGCCUGGAACAGCACCCUCCACCUUCAGGUGAGAAUAUGACAGCCUGAAACAGCACCCCACACCCCAGGCAAAAAUCUGACAGCAUGGAACAAGACCACUGCCCCCAGGUGAGCAUUUGACAGCCCGGGAAAGUACCCUCCAUGCACAGGUGAGCAUCUGACAGCCUGGAAACCCCCCCACUGCUUCCAGGUGAACAUCUGAUAGCCUGGAACAGAACCCCAGUUCUCCAAGUAAGGAUCUGAAAGCACGGAACAGCACUCUCACCCCCAGGGGAGCAUCUGACAACCUAGAACAGCACCCUCACCCCGAGGUGGGCAUCUGGCAGCAUAAAACAGCACCCCUACUGGCAGAUGAGCAUAUGACAGCGUGGAACAGCACCCACGCACCCAGGUGAGCAUCUGACAGCCUGGAACAGCACCCCACACCCCCAGGUGAGCAUCUGACAGCCUGGAACAGCACCCACACCCCCAGGUGAGCAUCUGACAGCCUGGAGCAGCACCCUACACCCCCAGGGGAGCAUCUGACAGUCUGGAGCAGCACCCACACCCCCAGGUGAGCAUCUGACAUCCUGGAACAGCACCCCACGCCCCCAGGUGAGCACCUGACAGCCUGGAACAGCACCCCACACCCCCAGGUGAGCAUCUGACAGCCUGGAACAGCACCCACACCCCCAGGUGAGCAUCUGACAGCCUGGAGCAGCACCCCACACCUCCAGGGGAGCAUCUGACAUCCUGGAACAGCACCCCACACCCCCAGUGAGCAUCUGACAACCUGGAGCAGCACCCCACACCUCCAGGGGAGCAUCUGACAUCCUGGAACAGCACCCCACACCUCCAGGGGGAGCAUCUGACAGCCUGGAGCAACACCCCACACCUCCAGGGGAGCAUCUGACAGCCUGGAACAGCACUCCACACCUCCAGGGGAGCAUCUGACAGCAUGGACAAGUCCUGCCCCCCGAACUCCAGCCCUUAAGAAAAUCAGAAGCCCUGGCAGGCACAUUGCCUCUGUGCUGUGCUUUUACCCAGCGAAGCAUCAGGGCAGACAGCCAAUUUCAACACUGCUCUUGGCUGGGAAGUGCCCUCAUCUCUGGCAGCCCCCACAGAGAAAGUGCAGGGCCCCGGGGCUGUGGCUGCCUCAGGGCAGGUCUCCCUUGUGACAGCCUCUUGUCAUGGGCCUGGGAGUGGACCCCUCCCAUCCCUGCCGUGCAUCCUGUUGAGUAGACAGCUCAGGCUAGUACCCAAGAGGGUGGCCAGCAGAUCACAGGGGAUGUCCCUUUUGUCUUAGCUGUUUAUGGGCUGGAGGAACCACUGUUCAGCCACAUCUCCUCUCCUGCCCCUCCUGCAUUCACCCGAGGUUGAUGGGAGCUCUGUGGGGGGAGACAGGCAGGGGAGGGGCCAGGCAACACCUGGGCAUAUCCCCAGGGUGCCUCCUCUGAUCCCCAGGAGGGGCAGCACCCACCCUCUUCUUUUUCCAAUUUGUUUUUAUUGUGGUUAAAUAUACAUAACGUAAAAUUUA
Molecule: long non-coding RNA, 3587 nt
Filed under: Homo sapiens (human)
Lineage: Eukaryota; Metazoa; Chordata; Mammalia; Primates; Hominidae
Description: HSALNT0289807
Source: RNAcentral